AUUGUAAAGGCUCAUGCCAUAAAAUUGCCUCACAGAACAAAGUCCACAGGCCCCAUGGAGCAGAUAACAAGGUUCUACCAUCAUCAGCCAGCGUCUCCGCUGUUUUCAGCAGCGGGCCAGCGGGGCCAGACAGAGAGAGAGCUAUGGGCCUAUAGUGGGAACAGACCCAGCCAUACCUGAGUAGGGCCGGCCACGGCGGUAAUGAACCUCUUCACAUGGCCGUUCACCCAAAAGGAAAAGAGGUGGCUAAAGAAAGGAGGGCAGAGGAAGAGGAGGGGGCGCAGCCUAAUUUCACAGCCGGAGAAUAGCAGUGUACGCCGAACACACUGUGUGGCCAAACUCAGUGUUAUUCUGAGAAACAGUGAAUGAAAACACGCCACAGAGAAUGAAAACAAACCGCAGAGAAUGGAAACCGGUGAUGAAGAGGAUUGUGAAAUGAUGGUGUCGGCUGUGAGAACGCGGGCAGAUUUUUGGAUGGGUUAGCGUGAAAACCGUUAAUUUUGCACAAUUCUACAAACAUCAUCCCA
Long non-coding RNA from Gasterosteus aculeatus aculeatus (three-spined stickleback), 527 nucleotides. The record is from Ensembl. NCBI's taxonomy places the organism in Eukaryota, Metazoa, Chordata, Actinopteri, Perciformes, Gasterosteidae.